This 525-nucleotide ribosomal RNA is filed under the name uncultured Ascogregarina. RNAcentral's name for it is "eukaryotic LSU rRNA". It matches the Rfam family "Eukaryotic large subunit ribosomal RNA", at positions 77 to 609 of the family's 3401-position model. The record is from RNAcentral. Lineage: Eukaryota; Apicomplexa; Conoidasida.
CUCUUAGUAACGGCGAGUGAACAGGGAUGAGCUCAAGUUGAAAAUCGGCGGUUUACCGUUGAAUUGUAGUCUCUUGAAACACUGCCAGUGGCUGCUUUGGUUUGAGUCUCUUGGAAUAGAGCACCAUAGAGGGUGAUAGUCCCGUCUUAUCCAAAUGUCAACUACAUACGGUAGACUUUCUUAGAGUCGCGUUUCUUGCAAUUGAAGCGCUAAGUGGGUGAUAAACUUCAUCUAAAGCUAAAUAUUAGCAAGAGUCCGAUAGAGCACAAGUACCGUGAGGGAAAGAUGAAAAGAACUCUGGAAAGAGAGUUAAAAGGAACUGAAAUUGCCAAAAGGAAAGUGGAGGGAUGAGGCGAUUCGUUUAAGUCUUGUGUGUAGAGUAUGAAUCUCUUAUGCAGUACUUAAAGAAACUUCGGAAACAAUGUGAAAUAAAGGCUUGCCAUGAUAGAGUCUGCUCUUUGAGUUAGUUGUAUUGUGGUUGGCUUUAUGAAAUAUUGUGAAAUUCUCUAAGUAUGAUUUACUUAG